UCGCGAAAACUUCGCAAUGGGGGCAACCCCGACGAGGGAAUUCCAAGUGCUAGCACUUUGUGUUAGCUGUUCUUCUGUCUAAAAAACAGGAGGAGUAAGGGGCGGGUAAGACGGGUGCCAGCCGCCGCGGUAAUACCCGCGCCCCAAGUGGUGGUCGAUAUUAUUGAGCCUAAAACGUCCGUAGCCGGUCUUCUAAAUCCUUGGGUAAAUCGGGCAGCUUAACUGUCCGAAGUCCGGGGAGACUGGGAGACUUGGGACCGGGAGAGGUCAGAGGUACUUCUGGGGUAGGGGUAAAAUCCUGUAAUCCUGGAAGGACCACCGGUGGCGAAGGCGUCUGACUAGAACGGAUCCGACGGUGAGGGACGAAGCCCUGGGGCGCAAACGGGAUUAGAAACCCCG
Molecule: ribosomal RNA, 399 nt
Filed under: uncultured bacterium
Lineage: Bacteria
Description: bacterial SSU rRNA
Rfam family: Archaeal small subunit ribosomal RNA
Source: RNAcentral